UACAGAGGUCCCAAGCGUUGUUCGGAUUCACUGGGCGUAAAGGGUGCGUAGGUGGCAUGGUAAGUUUGAUGUGAAAUCUCCGGGCUUAACCCGGAAAUGGCAUUGAAUACUACUGUGCUGGAGGUUUGGAGGGGGGACUGGAAUUCUCGGUGUAGCAGUGAAAUGCGUAGAUAUCGAGAGGAACACCAGUGGCGAAGGCGAGUCCCUGGACAACAACUGACACUGAGGCACGAAAGCUAGGGGAGCAAACAGG
RNAcentral lists this ribosomal RNA (253 nucleotides) under uncultured bacterium. RNAcentral describes it as "partial 16S ribosomal RNA". It matches the Rfam family "Bacterial small subunit ribosomal RNA", at positions 524 to 776 of the family's 1533-position model. The record is from RNAcentral.